UACGGGGGGGGGCAAGCGUUGUUCGGAAUUACUGGGCGUAAAGGGCUCGUAGUCGGCCAACUAAGUCGGAUGUGAAAUCCCCAGGCUCAACCUGGGAACUGCAUCCGAUACUGGAUGGCUUGAAUCCGGGAGAGGGAUGCAGAAUUCCAGGUGUAGCGGUGAAAUGCGUAGAUAUCUGGAGGAAUACCGGUGGCGAAGGCGGCAUCCUGGACCGGCAUUGACGCUGAGGAGCGAAAGCUAGGGGAGCAAACGGG
RNAcentral lists this ribosomal RNA (254 nucleotides) under uncultured bacterium. RNAcentral's name for it is "partial 16S ribosomal RNA". It matches the Rfam family "Bacterial small subunit ribosomal RNA", at positions 524 to 776 of the family's 1533-position model. The record is from RNAcentral.